RNAcentral lists this ribosomal RNA (515 nucleotides) under uncultured archaeon. Its description in RNAcentral is "bacterial SSU rRNA". It matches the Rfam family "Archaeal small subunit ribosomal RNA", at positions 345 to 859 of the family's 1478-position model. The record is from RNAcentral.
AACCUUUACACUGCACGACAGUGCGAUAGGGGGACUCCGAGUGCGAGGGCAUAUAGUCCUCGCUUUUCUGUACCGUAAGGUGGUACAGGAACAAGGACUGGGCAAGACCGGUGCCAGCCGCCGCGGUAAUACCGGCAGUCCGAGUGAUGGCCGAUAUUAUUGGGCCUAAAGCGUCCGUAGCUUGCUGUGUAAGUCCAUUGGGAAAUCGACCAGCUCAACUGGUCGGCGUCCGGUGGAAACUACACAGCUUGGGGCCGAGAGACUCAACGGGUACGUCCGGGGUAGGAGUGAAAUCCUGUAAUCCUGGACGGACCACCAAUGGGGAAACCACGUUGAGAGACCGGACCCGACAGUGAGGGACGAAAGCCAGGGUCUCGAACCGGAUUAGAUACCCGGGUAGUCCUGGCUGUAAACAAUGCUCGCUAGGUAUGUCACGCGCCAUGAGCACGUGAUGUGCCGUAGUGAAGACGAUAAGCGAGCCGCCUGGGAAGUACGUCCGCAAGGAUGAAACUUAA